AAAAGGAAAGCAAAAUAGAGCAGGAGUAGCUAUACUUAUAUGUCACAAAAUAGAUUUCAAGACUAAAACUAUGAGAAGAGACAAAGAAGGUCAAUAUAUAAUAAUAAAGGGACCAAUU
Molecule: long non-coding RNA, 118 nt
Organism: Sapajus apella (tufted capuchin)
Lineage: Eukaryota; Metazoa; Chordata; Mammalia; Primates; Cebidae
Exons: 4
Source: RefSeq, a predicted model, not a curated record